GGGUUGUGAGGUUAAGCGACUAAGCGUACACGGUGGAUGCCCUGGCAGUCAGAGGCGAUGAAGGACGUGCUAAUCUGCGAAAAGCGUCGGUAAGGUGAUAUGAACCGUUAUAACCGGCGAUGUCCGAAUGGGGAAACCCAGUGUGAUUCGUCACACUAUCGUUAACUGAAUACAUAGGUUAACGAGGCGAACCGGGGGAACUGAAACAUCUAAGUACCCCGAGGAAAAGAAAUCAACCGAGAUUCCCCCAGUAGCGGCGAGCGAACGGGGAGCAGCCCAGAGUCUGAAUCAGCUUGUGUGUUAGUGGAACGGUCUGGAAAGUCCGACGGUACAGGGUGAUAGUCCCGUACACCAAAAUGCACAGGUUGUGAACUCGAAGAGUAGGGCGGGACACGUGGUAUCCUGUCUGAAUAUGGGGGGACCAUCCUCCAAGGCUAAAUACUCCUGACUGACCGAUAGUGAACCAGUACCGUGAGGGAAAGGCGAAAAGAACCCCGGCGAGGGGAGUGAAAAAGAACCUGAAACCGUGUACGUACAAGCAGUGGGAGCACCUUCGGGUGUGACUGCGUACCUUUUGUAUAAUGGGUCAGCGACUUAUAUUCUGUAGCAAGGUUAACCGUAUAGGGGAGCCGCAGGGAAACCGAGUCUUAACUGGGCGUUAAGUUGCAGGGUAUAGACCCGAAACCCGGUGAUCUAGCCAUGGGCAGGUUGAAGGUUGGGUAACACUAACUGGAGGACCGAACCGACUAAUGUUGAAAAAUUAGCGGAUGACUUGUGGCUGGGGGUGAAAGGCCAAUCAAACCGGGAGAUAGCUGGUUCUCCCCGAAAGCUAUUUAGGUAGCGCCUCGUGAACUCAUCUUCGGGGGUAGAGCACUGUUUCGGCUAGGGGGUCAUCCCGACUUACCAACCCGAUGCAAACUACGAAUACCGAAGAAUGUUAUCACGGGAGACACACGGCGGGUGCUAACGUCCGUCGUGAAGAGGGAAACAACCCAGACCGCCAGCUAAGGUCCCAAAGUCAUGGUUAAGUGGGAAACGAUGUGGGAAGGCACAGACAGCCAGGAUGUUGGCUUAGAAGCAGCCAUCAUUUAAAGAAAGCGUAAUAGCUCACUGGUCGAGUCGGCCUGCGCGGAAGAUGUAACGGGGCUAAACCAUGCACCGAAGCUGCGGCAGCGACACUAUGUGUUGUUGGGUAGGGGAGCGUUCUGUAAGCCUGCGAAGGUGUGCUGUGAGGCAUGCUGGAGGUAUCAGAAGUGCGAAUGCUGACAUAAGUAACGAUAAAGCGGGUGAAAAGCCCGCUCGCCGGAAGACCAAGGGUUCCUGUCCAACGUUAAUCGGGGCAGGGUGAGUCGACCCCUAAGGCGAGGCCGAAAGGCGUAGUCGAUGGGAAACAGGUUAAUAUUCCUGUACUUGGUGUUACUGCGAAGGGGGGACGGAGAAGGCUAUGUUAGCCGGGCGACGGUUGUCCCGGUUUAAGCAUGUAGGCUGGUUGUCCAGGCAAAUCCGGAUAAUCAAGGCUGAGGUGUGAUGACGAGGCACUACGGUGCUGAAGUAACAAAUGCCCUGCUUCCAGGAAAAGCCUCUAAGCAUCAGGUAACAUUAAAUCGUACCCCAAACCGACACAGGUGGUCAGGUAGAGAAUACCAAGGCGCUUGAGAGAACUCGGGUGAAGGAACUAGGCAAAAUGGUGCCGUAACUUCGGGAGAAGGCACGCUGGUGUGUAGGUGAAGUCCCUGCGGAUGGAGCUGAGACCAGUCGAAGAUACCAGCUGGCUGCAACUGUUUAUUAAAAACACAGCACUGUGCAAACACGAAAGUGGACGUAUACGGUGUGACGCCUGCCCGGUGCCGGAAGGUUAAUUGAUGGGGUUAUCCGUAAGGAGAAGCUCUUGAUCGAAGCCCCGGUAAACGGCGGCCGUAACUAUAACGGUCCUAAGGUAGCGAAAUUCCUUGUCGGGUAAGUUCCGACCUGCACGAAUGGCGUAAUGAUGGCCAGGCUGUCUCCACCCGAGACUCAGUGAAAUUGAACUCGCUGUGAAGAUGCAGUGUACCCGCGGCAAGACGGAAAGACCCCGUGAACCUUUACUAUAGCUUGACACUGAACAUUGAGCCUUGAUGUGUAGGAUAGGUGGGAGGCUUUGAAGCGUGGACGCCAGUCUGCGUGGAGCCAACCUUGAAAUACCACCCUUUAAUGUUUGAUGUUCUAACGUUGGCCCCUGACCGGGGUUGCGGACAGUGUCUGGUGGGUAGUUUGACUGGGGCGGUCUCCUCCCAAAGCGUAACGGAGGAGCACGAAGGUUAGCUAAUCCUGGUCGGACAUCAGGAGGUUAGUGCAAUGGCAUAAGCUAGCUUGACUGCGAGCGUGACGGCGCGAGCAGGUGCGAAAGCAGGUCAUAGUGAUCCGGUGGUUCUGAAUGGAAGGGCCAUCGCUCAACGGAUAAAAGGUACUCCGGGGAUAACAGGCUGAUACCGCCCAAGAGUUCAUAUCGACGGCGGUGUUUGGCACCUCGAUGUCGGCUCAUCACAUCCUGGGGCUGAAGUAGGUCCCAAGGGUAUGGCUGUUCGCCAUUUAAAGUGGUACGCGAGCUGGGUUUAGAACGUCGUGAGACAGUUCGGUCCCUAUCUGCCGUGGGCGCUGGAGAAUUGAGGGGGGCUGCUCCUAGUACGAGAGGACCGGAGUGGACGCAUCACUGGUGUUCGGGUUGUCAUGCCAAUGGCACUGCCCGGUAGCUAAAUGCGGAAGAGAUAAGUGCUGAAAGCAUCUAAGCACGAAACUUGCCCCGAGAUGAGUUCUCCCUGAGACUUUAAGUCUCCUGAAGGAACGUUAAAGACGAUGACGUUGAUAGGCCGGGUGUGUAAGCGCAGCGAUGCGUUGAGCUAACCGGUACUAAUGAACCGUGAGGCUUAACCUUACAACGCCGAAG
RNAcentral lists this ribosomal RNA (2923 nucleotides) under Klebsiella pneumoniae. RNAcentral describes it as "23S ribosomal RNA". It matches the Rfam family "Bacterial large subunit ribosomal RNA". Lineage: Bacteria; Pseudomonadati; Pseudomonadota; Gammaproteobacteria; Enterobacterales; Enterobacteriaceae. The record is from RNAcentral.